Molecule: ribosomal RNA, 253 nt
Filed under: uncultured bacterium
Lineage: Bacteria
Description: partial 16S ribosomal RNA
Rfam family: Bacterial small subunit ribosomal RNA
Source: RNAcentral
GACAGAGGAUGCAAGCGUUAUCCGGAAUGAUUGGGCGUAAAGCGUCUGUAGGUGGCUUUUUAAGUCUGCCAUCAAAUCCCAGGGCUUAACCCUGGACAGGCGGUGGAAACUACCAAGCUGGAGUACGGUAGGGGCAGGGGGAAUUUCCGGUGGAGCGGUGAAAUGCGUAGAGAUCGGAAAGAACACCAACGGCGAAAGCACUCUGCUGGGCCGACACUGACACUGAGAGACGAAAGCUAGGGGAGCGAAUGGG